AGGAGCCGUAUACGAGGCCCGUACGUACGGUUCUGUGAGAGGGCUAACGCCGUAGCAAAUUACUACGGCGUUAUUCUACUCGAU
This 84-nucleotide non-coding RNA is filed under the name Desulforamulus putei DSM 12395. Lineage: Bacteria; Bacillati; Bacillota; Clostridia; Eubacteriales; Peptococcaceae. The record is from RNAcentral.